AGAGUUUGAUCCUGGCUCAGGACGAACGCUGGCGGCGUGCUUAACACAUGCAAGUCGGACGAGGGAAAGAGGGAGGCUUGCCUCAAUCUUUCUCGAGUGGCAAACGGGUGAGUAACACGUAAACAACCUGCCCUCCUGACGGGGACAACAGACGGAAACGACUGCUAAUACCGGAUACGGUCCUUUAACCGCAUGGUUAUAGGAAGAAAGGAUGGCCUCCAUUUAUGAGCUAUCGCGGGAGGAGGGGUUUGCGACUGGUUAGGUAGUUGGUGAGGUAACGGCCCACCAAGCCGACGAUCAGUAGCCGGUCUGAGAGGAUGAACGGCCACACUGGAACUGAGACACGGUCCAGACUCCUACGGGAGGCAGCAGUGGGGAAUCUUCCGCAAUGGGCGAAAGCCUGACGGAGCAACGCCGCGUGGGUGAUGACGGCCUUCGGGUUGUAAAGCCCUGUGACAGGGGACGAAAGGUCUUUAUAUCAACAACGUAGAGACUUGACGGUACCCUGAUAGCAAGCCACGGCUAACUACGUGCCAGCAGCCGCGGUAAUACGUAGGUGGCAAGCGUCGUCCGGAAUUAUUGGGCGUAAAGCGCGCGCAGGCGGCCCUUUAAGUCCAUCUUAAAAGUGCGGGGCUUAACCCCGUGAUGGGAUGGAAACUGGAGAGCUGGAGUAUCGGAGAGGAAAGCGGAAUUCCUAGUGUAGCGGUGAAAUGCGUAGAGAUUAGGAAGAACACCGGUGGCGAAGGCGGCUUUCUGGACGACAACUGACGCUGAGGCGCGAAAGCGUGGGGAGCAAACAGGAUUAGAUACCCUGGUAGUCCACGCCGUAAACGAUGGAUACUAGGUGUAGGAGG
RNAcentral lists this ribosomal RNA (854 nucleotides) under uncultured bacterium. RNAcentral describes it as "bacterial SSU rRNA". It matches the Rfam family "Bacterial small subunit ribosomal RNA", at positions 8 to 829 of the family's 1533-position model. The record is from RNAcentral.